GCAUAUCAAUAAGCGGAGGAAAAGAAACUAACAAGGAUUCCCUUAGUAACGGCGAGUGAAGAGGGAAGAGCUCAAAUUUUAAAUCUAUCAUGUUGUACAUGAUCGAGUUGUAAUUUGAAGAAGCGUUUUCUCGUACUUUAUGAUCAGUAUAAGUUCUCUUGGAACAGGACAUCAUAGAGGGUGAUAAUCCCGUCUGUUACUGAUUGUGAGGUUCGUUUAUGAUACGCUUUCAAAGAGUCGAGUUGUUUGGGAUUGCAGCUCCAAAUGGGUGGUAAACAUCACCUAAGGCUAAAUAUUUGCGAGAGACCGAUAGCGAACAAGUACCGUGAGGGAAAGAUGAAAAGAACUUUGAAAAGAGAGUUAAAAAGUAUGUGAAAUUGUUGAAAGGGAAACGAUUGAAGUCAGUCGUGCAGUCAUCAAUUCAGCGGUUAACAUUUUAUGUUUCCGUGUAAUUUGGUGUCUGUUGGUUAGCAUCAAUUUUGAUUGUUAUAAAAAGGUUAAGGGGAUGUGGCUCCUUCGGGAGUGUUAUAACCCUUAGCGUAAUGUGACGAUUAGGAUUGAGGUUUGCAACGAAUACCUUUUAGGACAGUUUCACCUGGCCUCUCGUGGAAUUAUAGAUAGUUAAGAGCAUGCUCUUACUGUCUAUGAUUCUACGAAAAGGUUGGAGUGUAAAACUAAUUCGUUAAGGAUGUUGACGUA
RNAcentral lists this ribosomal RNA (699 nucleotides) under uncultured Glomerales. Its description in RNAcentral is "LSU rRNA". It matches the Rfam family "Eukaryotic large subunit ribosomal RNA", at positions 38 to 633 of the family's 3401-position model. The record is from RNAcentral. Lineage: Eukaryota; Fungi; Glomeromycota; Glomeromycetes; Glomerales; Glomeraceae.